GCCAUCCGCUCCAUCCAGCUCCUCGCAGGGCCUUUGGCUGGCUGCCUAGGGUCUUCCAGGGACUCCGGCCGCGCCUCCUUGGCCCAGAGCCCGGCGGGAAGGGAGCGGGGCUGCGGAUCCAGUAGCCCUCUUGGACUGCCCCAGUGCCUGGAGGAAAUUCUGCUCCCUGCCCCGCGUGGUAUCUUCCUCCCAGGAACUUCAACAGGUAAGCCUCCCUUUCAACUAGAGUGGCCCUAUGACAGAGCUUGGGUCAAUGAGAUGCAAAAUAGAAGUCUGGAAAUUUCUGGAAAAAGUCUUUGUUCUCCUGACCCAGGUAUCAAACUUUCCUCUUUAUUUUCCUCUUUCAUUCAUCCUACAUAGAACUAAAACCUUAUAGCAGGAGCGGAAACAGUCCAUCUGAGACCUAUGAGAGAAAAGCUGAGAAAAUACAGAGACUUUGGUCCUGACAUUCUUAAACUGCCAG
This 463-nucleotide long non-coding RNA is filed under the name Callithrix jacchus (white-tufted-ear marmoset). RNAcentral's name for it is "lncRNA (ENSCJAG00000078450.1)". Lineage: Eukaryota; Metazoa; Chordata; Mammalia; Primates; Cebidae. The record is from RNAcentral.